CAUCGCCUCUUGUUAAUAAUAAGAGGUCCAGCCUGCCCAGUGACAAAGUUCAACGGCCGCGGUACCCUAACCGAGCGAAGGUAGCAUAAUCACUUGUUCUUUAAAUAAGGACUUGUAUCAAUGGCACCACGAGGGUCGUACUGUCUCCUUUCUCCAAUCAGUGAAACUGAUCUUCCCGUGAAAAAGCGGGAAUAUACACAUAAGACGAGAAGACCCCAUGGAGCUUUAAACCUCCAGCAACUUAACUAUAAAUUUCUCCACAACCCUUAAAGAAAUGCUUGUUGGUUUUAGGUUGGGGUGACCACGGAGUAAAAACUAACCUCCGCAACGCAUAAACCUAAAUUUUUAUUUAAGAGCCACAACUCUAAAAAAUAGUAUACUAACGUACACUGAUCCGAUAAUCGAUUAAUGAACCAAGUUACCCUGGGGAUAACAGCGCAAUCUAUUUUAAGAGUUCAUAUCGACAAAUAGGCUUACGACCUCGAUGUUGGAUCAGGGUAUCCCAGUGGUGCAGCCGCUACUGAUGGUUCGUUUGUUCAACGAUUAAAACCCU
RNAcentral lists this ribosomal RNA (553 nucleotides) under Kurixalus bisacculus (green-limbed tree frog). RNAcentral's name for it is "partial 16S ribosomal RNA". It matches the Rfam family "Bacterial large subunit ribosomal RNA", at positions 1814 to 2597 of the family's 2925-position model. Lineage: Eukaryota; Metazoa; Chordata; Amphibia; Anura; Rhacophoridae. The record is from RNAcentral.